This 253-nucleotide ribosomal RNA is filed under the name uncultured bacterium. Its description in RNAcentral is "partial 16S ribosomal RNA". It matches the Rfam family "Bacterial small subunit ribosomal RNA", at positions 524 to 776 of the family's 1533-position model. The record is from RNAcentral.
UACGUGGGGGGCAAGCGUUGUUCGGAAUUACUGGGCGUAAAGCGCGCGUAGGCGGUUCUUCAAGUCGCGUGUGAAAGCUCCAGGCUUAACCUGGGAAUUGCGCUCGAUACUGUUGAGCUAGAGUGUGGAAGGGGCUACUGGAAUUCCGUGUGUAGCGGUGAAAUGCGUAGAUAUACGGAGGAACACCAGCGGCGAAGGCGGGUAGCGGGGCCAACACUGACGCUGAUGUGCGAAAGCUAGGGGAGCAACCGGG